This 1225-nucleotide ribosomal RNA is filed under the name Thiobacillus sp. CSO6. Its description in RNAcentral is "bacterial SSU rRNA". It matches the Rfam family "Bacterial small subunit ribosomal RNA", at positions 106 to 1397 of the family's 1533-position model. The record is from RNAcentral. Lineage: Bacteria; Pseudomonadati; Pseudomonadota; Betaproteobacteria; Nitrosomonadales; Thiobacillaceae.
GGCAGUAACGCGUAGGAAUCUGUCUUUGGAGUGGGGGACAACCCAGGGAAACUUGGGCUAAUACCGCAUAACCCCUGAGGGGGAAAGCGGGGGAUCUUCUGGAGCUCGCGCUGGAAGAGGAGCCUACGUCUGAUUAGCUAGUUGGUAGGGUAAAGGCUCUACCAAGGCGACGAUAGGUAGCUGGUCUGAGAGGACGACCAGCCACACUGGGACUGAGACACGGCCCAGACUCCUACGGGAGGCAGCAGUUGGGGAAUUUUUCGCAAUGGGGGCAACCCUGACGAAGCAAUGCCGCGUGAAUCCUUCGGGUUGUAAAGUUUCUUUCGUGGAGGACGAAAAGGUGGGUGCUAAUACCGCCUGCUGUUGACGUGAAUCCAAGAAGAAGCACUUUCGGCUAACUCCGUGCCAGCAGCCGCGGUAAUACGGGGGGUGCAAGCGUUAAUCGGAAUCUUACUAAAAAUGCGUAGGCGGUGCAUUAGGUCUGUCGUGAAAUCCCCGGGCUCAACCUGGGAAUGGCGGUGGAAACCGGUGUACUAGAGUAUGGGAGAGGGUGGUGGAAUUCCAGGUGUAGCGGUGAAAUGCGUAGAGAUCUGGAGGAACACCAGUGGCGAAGGCGGCCACCUGGCCCAAUACUGACGCUGAGGCACGAAAGCGUGGGGAGCUAAACAGGAUUAGAUACCCUGGUAGUCCACGCCCUAAACGAUGAAUACUAGAUGUUUGGGGCCAAGCGAAUACUUGAGUGUCGUAGCUAACGCGAUAAGUAUUCCGCCUGGGAAGUACGGCCGCAAGGUUAAAACUCAAAGGAAUUGACGGGGGCCCUGUCUGGAAUCCUGCAGAGAUGCGGGAGUGCCCUUCGGGGAAUCAGAACACAGGGGUGCUGCAUGGCUGUCGUCAGCUCGUGUCGUGAGAUGUUGGGUUAAGUCCCGCAACGAGCGCAACCCUUGUGUUGCCAGCGGUUCGGCCGGGCACUCUAGGGAGACUGCCGGUGACAAACCGGAGGAAGGUGGGGAUGACGUCAAGAAACCUCAUGGCCUUUAUGUCCAGGGCUACACACGUGCUACAAUGGCGCGUACAGAGGGAAGCCAAGCCGCGAGGUGGAGCAGACCCCAGAAAGCGCGUCGUAGUUCGGAUUGCAGUCUGCAACUCGACUGCAUGAAGUCGGAAUCGCUUCGCGGAUCAGCAUGCCGCGGUGAAGACGUUCCCGGGCCUUGUACACACCGCCCGU